This 597-nucleotide ribosomal RNA is filed under the name uncultured bacterium. RNAcentral's name for it is "bacterial SSU rRNA". It matches the Rfam family "Bacterial small subunit ribosomal RNA", at positions 73 to 649 of the family's 1533-position model. The record is from RNAcentral.
CCGGAGCUUGCUCCACCGGAAAAAGAGGAGUGGCGAACGGGUGAGUAACACGUGGGUAACCUGCCCAUCAGAAGGGGAUAACACUUGGAAACAGGUGCUAAUACCGUAUAACAAUCGAAACCGCAUGGUUUUGAUUUGAAAGGCGCUUUCGGGUGUCGCUGAUGGAUGGACCCGCGGUGCAUUAGCUAGUUGGUGAGGUAACGGCUCACCAAGGCGACGAUGCAUAGCCGACCUGAGAGGGUGAUCGGCCACAUUGGGACUGAGACACGGCCCAAACUCCUACGGGAGGCAGCAAUAGGGAAUCUUCGGCAAUGGACGAAAGUCUGACCGAGCAACGCCGCGUGAGUGAAGAAGGUUUUCGGAUCGUAAAACUCUGUUGUUAGAGAAGAACAAGGAUGAGAGUAACUGUUCAUCCCUUGACGGUAUCUAACCAGAAAGCCACGGCUAACUACGUGCCAGCAGCCGCGGUAAUACGUANGUGGCAAGCGUUGUCCGGAUUUAUUGGGCGUAAAGCGAGCGCAGGCGGUUUCUUAAGUCUGAUGUGAAAGCCCCCGGCUCAACCGGGGAGGGUCAUUGGAAACUGGGAGACUUGAGUGC